UAGGGAAUCUUCGGCAAUGGACGAAAGUCUGACCGAGCAACGCCGCGUGAGUGAAGAAGGUUUUCGGAUCGUAAAACUCUGUUGUUAGAGAAGAACAAGGACGUUAGUAACUGAACGUCCCCUGACGGUAUCUAACCAGAAAGCCACGGCUAACUACGUGCCAGCAGCCGCGGUAAUACGUAGGUGGCAAGCGUUGUCCGGAUUUAUUGGGCGUAAAGCGAGCGCAGGCGGUUUCUUAAGUCUGAUGUGAAAGCCCCCGGCUCAACCGGGGAGGGUCAUUGGAAACUGGGAGACUUGAGUGCAGAAGAGGAGAGUGGAAUUCCAUGUGUAGCGGUGAAAUGCGUAGAUAGAGGGAGGAACACCAGUGGCGAAGGCGGCUCUCUGGUCUGUAACUGACGCUGAGGCUCGAAAGCGUGGGGAGCAAACAGG
Molecule: ribosomal RNA, 429 nt
Filed under: Gemmatimonadota bacterium
Lineage: Bacteria; Pseudomonadati; Gemmatimonadota
Description: Gemmatimonadetes bacterium partial 16S ribosomal RNA
Rfam family: Bacterial small subunit ribosomal RNA
Source: RNAcentral